AGGGAGAAUUGGAGACAAAGUUUGGGGACUUUGUAAAAUUAAGAAUAUAAAGAUUAUGAGGAAAGGAAUGUAAAUACAGAUAGUAAAGAAUAUAGAGUAAUUCUUUGUCCUUGAGUAUUUGAUAGAACAUUAGUUGGAAACCACUGGAUCUGAGCUACUUUAGAUGGAGGGGUAUUCCAGGAAUAUUCUGUUAAAUGUUCAACAACUGGGUCUCUGAAAAGAAAAAGCCCUGAUUUGUAGUGUUUGCCAAUUUCUGUGAUGUAAAUAUUUCCAUCAUGGGACAUUUCAAGCUACCAAUGUGAUGUCACUGAACACAGAAGUGUUACAUACGAUCCACUCUCCAGAGCUCAGCAUAUCACCAGGAUGAUAUGCUUGGCAAGGUGAGACAGUGCUCUGAAAGACAGUGGAGAAAGAACAGGACUGAGGACAACUGCCUCCCACAGGUCUGCAGAGGAUUGCACAUAAGGGUAUACAUGAAGAGCAAGAAUAAAAACCAGAAGUGCCAUUUUGGGAAGAGGGGUCCAGCAUCUAAAUCCACAGAACACAUCUGUCUGGAAAACAGAUAA
RNAcentral lists this long non-coding RNA (566 nucleotides) under Canis lupus familiaris (dog). RNAcentral describes it as "lncRNA (ENSCAFG00000042556.2)". The record is from RNAcentral. Lineage: Eukaryota; Metazoa; Chordata; Mammalia; Carnivora; Canidae.